Molecule: long non-coding RNA, 449 nt
Organism: Oncorhynchus tshawytscha (Chinook salmon)
Lineage: Eukaryota; Metazoa; Chordata; Actinopteri; Salmoniformes; Salmonidae
Source: Ensembl
GACAGGUCUAGACAGAGACACAGUGAGUUGACAGGUCUAGACAGAGACACAAUGAGUUGACAGGUCUAGAGAGAGAAGGACAGUGAGUUGACAGGUCUAGACAGAGACACAGUGAGUUGACAGGUCUAGAGAGAUAAGGACAGUGAAUUGACAGGUCUAGAGAGAGAACAGUAAGUUGACAGGUCUACAGAGUGGACAGUGAGUUGACAGGUUUAGAGAGAUAAGGACAGUGAGUUGACAGGUCUAGAGAGAGAAGCACAGUGAGUUGACAGGUCUAGAGAGAGAAGCACAGUGAGUUGACAGGUCUAUAGAGAGAAGCACAGUGAGUUGACAGGUCUAGAGAGAGAAGCACAGUGAGUUGACAGGUCUAGAGAGAGAAGAACAGUAAGUUGACAGGUCUAGAGAGUGGACAGUGAGUUGACAGGUCUAGAGAGAGAAACACAGUGAGU